Molecule: ribosomal RNA, 513 nt
Filed under: Serratia bockelmannii
Lineage: Bacteria; Pseudomonadati; Pseudomonadota; Gammaproteobacteria; Enterobacterales; Yersiniaceae
Description: partial 23S ribosomal RNA
Rfam family: Bacterial large subunit ribosomal RNA
Source: RNAcentral
AAGGCUAGGCUAGCCGGGCGACGGUUGUCCCGGUUUAAGCGUGUAGGGGGUGUGACCUGGUAAAUCCGGUUGCAUAUUAACCCUGAGGCGUGAUGACGAUGCACUACGGUGCAGAAGUAGUUGAUGCCCUGCUUCCAGGAAAAUCCUCUAAGCUCCAGGUAACAUUAAAUCGUACCCCAAACCGACACAGGUGGUCAGGUAGAGAAUACCAAGGCGCUUGAGAGAACUCGGGUGAAGGAACUAGGCAAAAUGGUGCCGUAACUUCGGGAGAAGGCACGCUGGCAUGUAGGUGAAGUCCUUCGCGGAUGGAGCUGAAGCCAGUCGAAGAUACCAGCUGGCUGCAACUGUUUAAUAAAAACACAGCACUGUGCAAACACGAAAGUGGACGUAUACGGUGUGACGCCUGCCCGGUGCUGGAAGGUUAAUUGAUGGGGUCAGCCGCAAGGCGAAGCUCUUGAUCGAAGCCCCAGUAAACGGCGGCCGUAACUAUAACGGUCCUAAGGUAGCGAAAUU